UACGGAGGGUGCAAGCGUUAUCCGGAUUCACUGGGUUUAAAGGGUGCGUAGGCGGGUAUAUAAGUCAGUGGUGAAAGCUCCGGGCUUAACUUGGAACUGCCAUUGAUACUGUAUAUCUUGAAUGUCGUUGAGGUUAGCGGAAUGUUGCAUGUAGCGGUGAAAUGCUUAGAUAUGUUACAGAACACCAAUUGUGAAGACAGCUAAACUAAGCGAUAAUUGACGCUGAGGCACGAAAGCGUGGGGGAGCAAACAGG
Molecule: ribosomal RNA, 254 nt
Filed under: uncultured bacterium
Lineage: Bacteria
Description: partial 16S ribosomal RNA
Rfam family: Bacterial small subunit ribosomal RNA
Source: RNAcentral